CUGUCCUACGGGAGGCAGCAGUAGGGAAUCUUCCACAAUGGACGAAAGUCUGAUGGAGCAACGCCGCGUGAGUGAAGAAGGGUUUCGGCUCGUAAAGCUCUGUUGGUAGUGAAGAAAGAUAGAGGUAGUAACUGGCCUUUAUUUGACGGUAAUUACUUAGAAAGUCACGGCUAACUACGUGCCAGCAGCCGCGGUAAUACGUAGGUGGCAAGCGUUGUCCGGAUUUAUUGGGCGUAAAGCGAGUGCAGGCGGGUCCAUGAGUCUGCUGUGAAAGCCUUCGGCUCAAACGGGGAAUU
RNAcentral lists this ribosomal RNA (296 nucleotides) under uncultured bacterium. Its description in RNAcentral is "partial 16S ribosomal RNA". It matches the Rfam family "Bacterial small subunit ribosomal RNA", at positions 334 to 622 of the family's 1533-position model. The record is from RNAcentral.